AUACGGAGGGGGUUAGCGUUGUUCGGAAUUACUGGGCGUAAAGCGCACGUAGGCGGACUGGAAAGUUGGGGGUGAAAUCCCGGGGCUCAGCCCCGGAACUGCCUCCAAAACUUCCAAUCUAGAGAUCGAGAGAGGUGAGUGGAAUUCCAAGUGUAGAGGUGAAAUUCGUAGAUAUUUGGAGGAACACCAGUGGCGAAGGCGGCUCACUGGCUCGAUACUGACGCUGAGGUGCGAAAGCGUGGGGAGCAAACAGGAUUAGAAACCCUAGUAGUCC
This 274-nucleotide ribosomal RNA is filed under the name uncultured bacterium. RNAcentral describes it as "partial 16S ribosomal RNA". It matches the Rfam family "Bacterial small subunit ribosomal RNA", at positions 523 to 796 of the family's 1533-position model. The record is from RNAcentral.